CGUAGGUGGCAAGCGUUGUCCGGAAUUAUUGGGCGUAAAGCGCGCGCAGGCGGUCCUUUAAGUCUGAUGUGAAAGCCCACGGCUCAACCGUGGAGGGUCAUUGGAAACUGGGGGACUUGAGUGCAGGAGAGAAGAGUGGAAUUCCACGUGUAGCGGUGAAAUGCGUAGAGAUGUGGAGGAACACCAGUGGCGAAGGCGACUCUUUGGCCUGUAACUGACGCUGAGGCGCGAAAGCGUGGGGAGCAAACAGGAUUAGAUACCCUGGUAGUCCACGCCGUAAACGAUGAGUGCUAAGUGUUAGAGGGUUUCCGCCCUUUAGUGCUGCAGUAAACGCAUUAAGCACUCCGCCUGGGGAGUACGGCCGCAAGGCUG
This 372-nucleotide ribosomal RNA is filed under the name uncultured organism. RNAcentral's name for it is "bacterial SSU rRNA". It matches the Rfam family "Bacterial small subunit ribosomal RNA", at positions 526 to 896 of the family's 1533-position model. The record is from RNAcentral.